CAGGGAGACAACAAAAUGUUUAAUAUUAUUAUUUUGUCACCUUAGGUCGAUCGGUAUCUCACGUUCUUAAUUUGUUAAGAAUUUCAUUUCCUAAGUUUUUCUAGGUCACACCCAUUAUUUUUCCUGGGCCAUUAGCUCAGGUGGUUAGAGCGCACCCCUGAUAAGGGUGAGGUCCCUGGUUCAAGUCCAGGAUGGCCCAUAUCUCUAUGUUGGGGGUAUAGCUCAGUUGGUAGAGCGCCUGCUUUGCAAGCAGGAUGUCAGCGGUUCGAGUCCGCUUACCUCCACUGAUUACCACCUCUUCCAUAACCGGUAGAAAGGAAACGUUUUGAGUCGUGAUCAUUAUUCUGAACGAAUCUAGCUUCCUAAUGAAAUCACUAAGAUGCUGGACUCAUUGAAUUAAUUUCAUUGUUUUCAGAGAACCUUGACAACUGCAUAGAUUAUUUUUAAAGACGAUAAGCAUCUUUAUGAUGCAGAUUUAUUAUUUGUGCGAAUGCAUUAAUAACAAUUCUAUUAAGCUGAUGCUUCAAUAUUUGAAGUUAUU
RNAcentral lists this transfer RNA (541 nucleotides) under uncultured cyanobacterium. RNAcentral's name for it is "partial miscellaneous RNA". The stretch from base 212 to 284 matches the Rfam family "tRNA". The record is from RNAcentral. Lineage: Bacteria; Bacillati; Cyanobacteriota.